GGCGGCGUGCUUAACACAUGCAAGUCGAACGGUAAGGCCCUUCGGGGUACACGAGUGGCGAACGGGUGAGUAACACGUGGGUGAUCUGCCCUGCACUUCGGGAUAAGCCUGGGAAACUGGGUCUAAUACCGGAUAGGACCAUGGACUUCACGGUUUGUGGUGGAAAGCUUUUGCGGUGUGGGAUGGGCCCGCGGCCUAUCAGCUUGUUGGUGGGGUAAUGGCCUACCAAGGCGACGACGGUAGCCGGCCUGAGAGGGUGUCCGGCCACACUGGGACCUGAGAUACGGCCCAGACUCCUACGGGAGGCAGCAGUGGGGAAUAUUGCACAAUGGGCGCAAGCCUGAUGCAGCGACGCCGCGUGAGGGAUGACGGCCUUCGGGUUGUAAACCUCUUUCAAUAGGGACGAAGCGCAUGUGACGGUACCUAUAGAAGAAGCACCGGCCAACUACGUG
Molecule: ribosomal RNA, 452 nt
Filed under: uncultured bacterium
Lineage: Bacteria
Description: bacterial SSU rRNA
Rfam family: Bacterial small subunit ribosomal RNA
Source: RNAcentral